UAGAGAUAGAAAGGCUAACAUUGUAAUUAUUGCUGUUUCACUAGCAACAUUAUAAUGUAUUAUACACGAGCAAAGAGUGAAAUUAAUACUGUUUCUCCUUAGCAAAUGGAGAUAUUUAUUUGUCAUUAUCUGUGACUCAGUUUCCUGUAGUGCAGACCAGAUGGUGUGGCUAAAACAGUCAUGCUGGGAAUAUGGUUAGUAUCUGCCUAGUAUGGUAAACAGAGUACAUGAACAGGAAAUUGUGUGUACUGGCUGAUUAAGGGAUGGAUGUCCUGGCAUCACACGUGUUCCUCUCUGGUCUGCCUGCUGGUGUGGGUUGGAUAUAAUCAAGCUCUGGAACUUCUCACAGCUCAUGGACAAGCAUGUGCAUAACAAUUGUACGAAUACUCUGAGGAGCACUGACGACAGAUGGACAACGAGCUUGGGCUUUAGCUGUGCUGUGGAUCGUGGACACAUCCAACCCCCAAACAGACCACCUCAAAGGUUUAGUAUCUUCCCAAAAUUUAUAGUUCCCUUCUAUGGAUUCCAUAUGUAAUAUGUUCUUCAUUAUGGCCUUAGAUUCUUUCCGAGUUGCAAGUAGACAGAUAGUCUGCACACAACUGGCCUAUGGGGUAUUGUUCCAAAUUCUUUCACUCCUUCCAAGGGACCAAUCAUCUAUGCUGCAGACUCACAGUGUGAAAAGAUAGAAACAGAAAUCAGAAUACUGUCUUUUAUUAGCAGGGUCUGGAUGAACACAGGCUCUUUCCCCCGGACAGAAAUGUCAAGAGUGAAUGGUCAAAGCAUUUUUU
This 788-nucleotide long non-coding RNA is filed under the name Pogona vitticeps (central bearded dragon). RNAcentral describes it as "lncRNA (ENSPVIG00000013087.1)". The record is from RNAcentral. Lineage: Eukaryota; Metazoa; Chordata; Lepidosauria; Squamata; Agamidae.